This 1380-nucleotide ribosomal RNA is filed under the name Enterococcus durans. Its description in RNAcentral is "bacterial SSU rRNA". It matches the Rfam family "Bacterial small subunit ribosomal RNA", at positions 72 to 1433 of the family's 1533-position model. The record is from RNAcentral. Lineage: Bacteria; Bacillati; Bacillota; Bacilli; Lactobacillales; Enterococcaceae.
ACCGGAGCUUGCUCCACCGGAAAAAGAAGAGUGGCGAACGGGUGAGUAACACGUGGGUAACCUGCCCAUCAGAAGGGGAUAACACUUGGAAACAGGUGCUAAUACCGUAUAACAAUCGAAACCGCAUGGUUUUGAUUUGAAAGGCGCUUUCGGGUGUCGCUGAUGGAUGGACCCGCGGUGCAUUAGCUAGUUGGUGAGGUAACGGCUCACCAAGGCCACGAUGCAUAGCCGACCUGAGAGGGUGAUCGGCCACAUUGGGACUGAGACACGGCCCAAACUCAUACGGGAGGCAGCAGUAGGGAAUCUUCGGCAAUGGACGAAAGUCUGACCGAGCAACGCCGCGUGAGUGAAGAAGGUUUUCGGAUCGUAAAACUCUGUUGUUAGAGAAGAACAAGGAUGAGAGUAACUGUUCAUCCCUUGACGGUAUCUAACCAGAAAGCCACGGCUAACUACGUGCCAGCAGCCGCGGUAAUACGUAGGUGGCAAGCGUUGUCCGGAUUUAUUGGGCGUAAAGCGAGCGCAGGCGGUUUCUUAAGUCUGAUGUGAAAGCCCCCGGCUCAACCGGGGAGGGUCAUUGGAAACUGGGAGACUUGAGUGCAGAAGAGGAGAGUGGAAUUCCAUGUGUAGCGGUGAAAUGCGUAGAUAUAUGGAGGAACACCAGUGGCGAAGGCGGCUCUCUGGUCUGUAACUGACGCUGAGGCUCGAAAGCGUGGGGAGCAAACAGGAUUAGAUACCCUGGUAGUCCACGCCGUAAACGAUGAGUGCUAAGUGUUGGAGGGUUUCCGCCCUUCAGUGCUGCAGCUAACGCAUUAAGCACUCCGCCUGGGGAGUACGACCGCAAGGUUGAAACUCAAAGGAAUUGACGGGGGCCCGCACAAGCGGUGGAGCAUGUGGUUUAAUUCGAAGCAACGCGAAGAACCUUACCAGGUCUUGACAUCCUUUGACCACUCUAGAGAUAGAGCUUCCCCUUCGGGGGCAAAGUGACAGGUGGUGCAUGGUUGUCGUCAGCUCGUGUCGUGAGAUGUUGGGUUAAGUCCCGCAACGAGCGCAACCCUUAUUGUUAGUUGCCAUCAUUUAGUUGGGCACUCUAGCAAGACUGCCGGUGACAAACCGGAGGAAGGUGGGGAUGACGUCAAAUCAUCAUGCCCCUUAUGACCUGGGCUACACACGUGCUACAAUGGGAAGUACAACGAGUCGCGAAGUCGCGAGGCUAAGCUAAUCUCUUAAAGCUUCUCUCAGUUCGGAUUGUAGGCUGCAACUCGCCUACAUGAAGCCGGAAUCGCUAGUAAUCGCGGAUCAGCACGCCGCGGUGAAUACGUUCCCGGGCCUUGUACACACCGCCCGUCACACCACGAGAGUUUUAACACCCGAAGUCGGUGA